AAAAGAUAAGAAGAAGAAAAAACAAA
This 26-nucleotide small RNA is filed under the name Arabidopsis thaliana (thale cress). Its description in RNAcentral is "ATSL189840". The record is from RNAcentral. Lineage: Eukaryota; Viridiplantae; Streptophyta; Magnoliopsida; Brassicales; Brassicaceae.